GCCUGUGUAGCUCAUUGGUAGAGCAUUUGUCUAACAAACAAGGUCCCAGGCU
This 52-nucleotide transfer RNA is filed under the name Mesocricetus auratus (golden hamster). The record is from Rfam by way of RNAcentral. Lineage: Eukaryota; Metazoa; Chordata; Mammalia; Rodentia; Cricetidae.